This is a long non-coding RNA of Mastomys coucha (southern multimammate mouse), 862 nucleotides long. RefSeq lists it as uncharacterized. The record is from RefSeq and is a predicted model, not a curated record. Lineage: Eukaryota; Metazoa; Chordata; Mammalia; Rodentia; Muridae. The transcript has 2 exons.
UAGAGAGAUGAAGAGACGGAAGAGCUGCUCAUAGGCAAAGCCACGUUCACGCCCGCAGAGAAGUGCUCCCACACCCCUGAAGAGGAGCUGCAGUAAACUGGCUUUAAGGGAAACCCAUGUGCAUGAGGAUGCCCUUGUCUCUGGCCUGGUGGGUGUACAGAGGACAGGAUCCUUCCAGUCAGACCCCUGCUUCUAAUCCUGCAGGAGAAAACAUACCCACGAAUCCACCAAGUCCAAGUUCACUCUUAACCCUGCUGUGGAAUUGCAGCCCUUUCUGUUUCAUGUUCCCUAAAUUGUUUGCAGCAGGCAGCUGUGCUGGGUUAGAAUCUCACAGGGGAUUCUGAGAUUCCAGACAGGGUAGGGGCUGGGAAGAAUACAAUUCACAUAUGUGGAGCAUCUGAGGAAUUUAAGGGCUAAAAAGAGAAGCUUCUGAAUGGAAGUGGCUAGGAUUCCUAGACCUUCAAAGGGCUCAGGAACAAUCUCAAGUCCAUCCAGGUACCUGGGACAGACCUUUCACAGGAAGUCAGUUCAACCAUCCCAUCAGUUGUAAACCCAUUUUAUCCCAGCUUCCCCGAGAGCCCAGUGCCAACAGCCACUUACUACAGCACCUGCCUGGGUUCAGAGAACCCCACCCCCCAAAGGUGUUUUGGUCACAUCAUCUCAGGGACACAGAUGCAGCCUUCAGAGUAGCUUUGAUUUCUGUCUCUCAUGAAUUUGGACAAGCUGCCAAUCCCAUUGGACCUGAUUGCCUCUACCCAAAGAAUAACUGAACUCAACUAUCAGAGAGAAAGACGGGCCCUAGCUCAAGGCAAGGAAAUUGAAAAAAAAUAAAAAUAAAAAAAAAAGUCUUAAAUGGUCUUCA